UCCCUGGCAGUCCAGUGAUUAGAACUCCACACUUCCACUGCUGGAGGCCUAGGUUUGAUCCCUAGUUGGGGAA
RNAcentral lists this transfer RNA (73 nucleotides) under Ovis aries (sheep). It matches the Rfam family "tRNA". From Rfam's summary of the family: Transfer RNA (tRNA) molecules are approximately 80 nucleotides in length. Their secondary structure includes four short double-helical elements and three loops (D, anti-codon, and T loops). Further hydrogen bonds mediate the characteristic L-shaped molecular structure. tRNAs have two regions of fundamental functional importance: the anti-codon, which is responsible for specific mRNA codon recognition, and the 3' end, to which the tRNAs corresponding amino acid is attached (by aminoacyl-tRNA synthetases). tRNAs cope with the degeneracy of the genetic code in two manners: having more than one tRNA (with a specific anti-codon) for a particular amino acid; and 'wobble' base-pairing, i.e. permitting non-standard base-pairing at the 3rd anti-codon position. Lineage: Eukaryota; Metazoa; Chordata; Mammalia; Artiodactyla; Bovidae. The record is from Rfam by way of RNAcentral.